GAAUUUAGGUUAAUAUAAACUAUUGAUCUUCAAAAUCAAAAAUGAACUUUAUUCAAUUCUU
RNAcentral lists this transfer RNA (61 nucleotides) under Cryptorhynchinae sp. 4 ACP-2013. RNAcentral describes it as "tRNA-Trp". The record is from RNAcentral. Lineage: Eukaryota; Metazoa; Arthropoda; Insecta; Coleoptera; Curculionidae.